CAGUCGCCGCGGGAAUACGGAGGGUGCAAGCGUUAAUCGGAAUUACUGGGCGUAAAGCGUGCGUAGGCGGUUCGUUAAGUCUGUUGUGAAAGCCCCGGGCUCAACCUGGGAAUGGCAAUGGAUACUGGCGAGCUAGAGUGUGUCAGAGGAUGGUGGAAUUCCCGGUGUAGCGGUGAAAUGCGUAGAGAUCGGGAGGAACAUCAGUGGCGAAGGCGGCCACCUGGGACAACACUGACGCUGAGGCACGAAAGCGUGGGGAGCAAACAGGAUUAGAUACCCGUGUAGUCCCUGUCUCUUAUAC
RNAcentral lists this ribosomal RNA (301 nucleotides) under uncultured bacterium. Its description in RNAcentral is "partial 16S ribosomal RNA". It matches the Rfam family "Bacterial small subunit ribosomal RNA", at positions 509 to 807 of the family's 1533-position model. The record is from RNAcentral.